RNAcentral lists this long non-coding RNA (211 nucleotides) under Hordeum vulgare. Its description in RNAcentral is "long non-coding RNA (HVUL_LNC007402)". Lineage: Eukaryota; Viridiplantae; Streptophyta; Magnoliopsida; Poales; Poaceae. The record is from RNAcentral.
AGAACGUGGACCACCUGGUCCAUCUACUUUUGAGUGAAAAGAACAGAGUGAGAAAAUGGCUUGUGCUUCUUGCACGAAUGUAUUGUUUUCCUAUAAUAUAAGAGCGAGUCUCCCAACUGAGCUAUUUCGUCAUUUUCUAAAAGACUCAUUGACGCGAGAGAUGCGAUGCGACAAUCUCAGUCUUACAACGACUUGGUUUACCGGAACUGCG